GACGAACGCUGGCGGCGUGCUUAACACAUGCAAGUCGAACGGCAAGGCCCUGCUUUUGUGGUGUUCUCGAGUGGCGAACGGGUGAGUAACACGUGAGUAACCUGCCCUUCACUUUGGGAUAACUUCAGGAAACUGGGGCUACUACCGGAUAGCAGCCCCCGCUCCAUUGUGGGGGUUGGAAAGUUUCGGCGGUUGGGGAUGGAUUCGCGGCUUAUCAGCUUGUUGGUGGGGUAGUGGCUUACCAAGGCUGUGACGGGUAGCCGGCCUGAGAGGGUGAACGGCCACAUUGGGACUGAGAUACGGCCCAGACUCCUACGGGAGGCAGAAGUGGGGAAUAUGGCACAAUGGGCGGAAGCCUGAGGAAGAAACGCCGCGUGCGGGAUGACGGCCUGCGGGUUGUAAACCGCUUUCGCCUGUGACGAAGCGGGAGUGACGGUAAUGGGUAAAGAAGCACCGGCUAACUACGUG
RNAcentral lists this ribosomal RNA (468 nucleotides) under uncultured bacterium. RNAcentral describes it as "partial 16S ribosomal RNA". It matches the Rfam family "Bacterial small subunit ribosomal RNA", at positions 28 to 507 of the family's 1533-position model. The record is from RNAcentral.